AUAAACACAGUCAAACAAGCUUUCUUUGCUACUUGAUCCUUCUUUCCAUUUAAGCUCUUACUCAAGACACUUAUUUUGAAUCAUUGCAGUGAAGAAUAUAUGCAUGAAGAUUACUCACCUUCUUUCCUUGUUUUCCUUUACUUACCAUGGCUAGGAUUUGUUUUACUCAAGAGAGAGAUUAUACAUGCACAUGUUCUGUUCAGUUAAGACUCUUUCUAGCUUUCAGAGUGAUUUGCCCUUAUCUUGAAGUACUUUAUUCAGCCUUUUGCACAUUAAUCUUGCUUGAAAAAGUCACCAACCUUUUGACGUGAAGGUACAUAUUUGUGAUACCCACCCCCAGUUACUCAGUUGGUCACCUGUCCAAGUGGCUACUAGCUCUGUUCAUAGUCUUUCAACCAUUGGAACAAUUUUCAAUUUGUGCUCAUGAAGUCUAGGCCAUUGCCGAAUUUCUUAUAUCAAUGCAUUGGGCAAAUCAACACCAAUUGCUAAAACAAGUCAUAUUGAGUUCAUUCACAUAACUUUCAAUUCAUUCUCUCUAAUGAGUGUCAUCAAUAUAUUUUUCACCAUGGUAAGCUUAAAGAUUCAAUUCAAAAGGUAAUUCUCAAACAUGAAUAUAGCUCACUGCAAUUGAUUCAACAUAAGUUUAAAGAGUCAUCACAUCAAUGGGGUCAUGGAAAGAAAAGCUCAUCCAACAUAGUUCAUCAGUUUGAGUAGAGCAUAUAAAAAAGAAGAAGAUUGUGGUUGCGUGUGUUAUUGAAAGCAUAAAUGAAAACAAAUUGAAAGAAAACUAAGUAAAAAAAAAUCGCAUGAACUGAAAGGAAAAGAAGAAAAAUUUCGCAAAUCUGAAAGGGAAAUAAAAAUUUUUCGCAAACUAAAAGGAAUGUAAAAUCGCAAGACUGAAAGGAGAAGAAGAAGAAGAAGAAAUUAUUCAGAGAUAUGCACCCCCACACCUAAAUCAUGCAUUGUCCUCAAUGUGUAAGAAAAAUAAAAGAGCAAAGGAAACUGAGUACUCCCCUGGGUGUGGUGUGCAUGGUGCGAUCCACUUAAGCAGAAUGAGUGAGAUGGUGUAGUGGAAUUUCUUCCACUACUUGCAUUGUGAACCCUUCAUAGUAUGGUUUCAGAUAUGGUUCCUCCCAAACAUCAUGUUUUGCAUUCUUUUUUAUUUUGUCUUUUGUGUGCUUGGGCCUAUCAAAGGGAAAGUUGCUUUCUACACAUUCAGGAGGUUGCCACAUUGAGAGCUUCU
This 1243-nucleotide long non-coding RNA is filed under the name Manihot esculenta (cassava). RNAcentral describes it as "long non-coding RNA (MESC_LNC011104)". The record is from RNAcentral. Lineage: Eukaryota; Viridiplantae; Streptophyta; Magnoliopsida; Malpighiales; Euphorbiaceae.